GCNGGUUACGAUUCGCCCCUUGAGUUUGAUCAUGGCUCAGGAUGAACGCUAGCGGCAGGCUUAACACAUGCAAGUCGAGGGGCAGCAUGUCCAGCAAUGGAUGAUGGCGACCGGCGGAAGGGUGCGUAACGCGUGAGCAACAUGCCCUAUACAGGGAGAUACACCAGGGAAACUUGGUCUAAUAUCCCAUAGCAUUCAUUGAAGGCAUCUUUAAUGAAUUAAAGCUUCGGUGGUAUAGGAUUGGCUCGCGUGACAUUAGCCAGAUGGUGAGGUAACGGCUCACCAUAGCAAUGAUGUCUAGGGGUUUUGAGAGGAAGGCCCCCCACACUGGGACUGAGACACGGCCCAGACUCCUACGGGAGGCAGCAGUGAGGAAUAUUGGACAAUGGAUGGAAAUCUGAUCCAGCCAUGCCGCGUGCAGGAAGACGGCCUUAUGGGUUGUAAACUGCUUUUAUACGGGAGCAAUAAGGGUUACGAGUAAUCCGAUGAGAGUACUGUAUGAAUAAGGAUCGGCUAACUCCGUGCCAGCAGCCGCGGUAAUACGGAGGAUCCGAGCGUUAUCCGGAAUUAUUGGGUUUAAAGGGUGCGUAGGCGGCCAUUUAAGUCAGCGGUGAAAUUUUGCAGCUUAACUGUAACAGUGCCGUUGAUACUGUUUGGCUAGGAUUUGGUUGUAGUGUGCGGAAUGUGUGGUGUAGCGGUGAAAUGCUUAGAUAUCACACAGAACACCGAUUGCGAAGGCAGCACACUAAGUCAUUAUUGACGCUGAGGCACGAAAGUGUGGGGAUCAAACAGGAUUAGAUACCCUGGUAGUCCACACUGUAAACGAUGAUAACUCGCUGUCGGCGAUACA
This 850-nucleotide ribosomal RNA is filed under the name uncultured bacterium. RNAcentral describes it as "bacterial SSU rRNA". It matches the Rfam family "Bacterial small subunit ribosomal RNA", at positions 1 to 833 of the family's 1533-position model. The record is from RNAcentral.